AAGUCGUAACAAGGUUUCCGUAGGUGAACCUGCGGAAGGAUCAUUAACCUUAUUACCGGGGCCGGCUGGGAAAACGCGCUCCUGGGCCCUUGGGGCAACCUGGGUGCCCACGCCGUUUUCCCUGUCCGCCUGUCUGAAUCCGUGUUUUUUGCGCACCCACUGUUUCCUCGGCGGGCCUGCCCGCCAGUAGGACCUUUCAAACCCCUUGUAAUUGCAGUCAGCGUCAGAAAAACCUAAUAGUUACAACUUUCAACAACGGAUCUCUUGGUUCUG
Molecule: unclassified non-coding RNA, 273 nt
Filed under: air metagenome
Description: partial contains small subunit ribosomal RNA, internal transcribed spacer 1, and 5.8S ribosomal RNA
Rfam family: Eukaryotic small subunit ribosomal RNA (bases 1-46)
Source: RNAcentral